Molecule: ribosomal RNA, 389 nt
Filed under: uncultured bacterium
Lineage: Bacteria
Description: bacterial SSU rRNA
Rfam family: Bacterial small subunit ribosomal RNA
Source: RNAcentral
GACGAACGCUGGCGGCGUGCUUAACACAUGCAAGUCGAGCGGUAAGGCCCUUUCGGGGGUACACGAGCGGCGAACGGGUGAGUAACACGUGGGUGACCUGCCCUCAGCUCUGGGAUAAGCCUGGGAAACUGGGUCUAAUACCGGAUAUGACCCCAUGACGCAUGUCGUGGGGUGGAAAGCCUUGUGCGGCUGAGGAUGGGCCCGCGGCCUAUCAGCUUGUUGGUGGGGUGAUGGCCUACCAAGGCGACGACGGGUAGCCGGCCUGAGAGGGCGACCGGCCACACUGGGACUGAGACACGGCCCAGACUCCUACGGGAGGCGAGCAGUGGGGAAUCUUGCGCAAUGGGCGAAAGCCUGACGCAGCGACGCCGCGUGAGGGAUGACGGCCU